Non-coding RNA from Sus scrofa (pig), 1420 nucleotides. The record is from RefSeq and is a predicted model, not a curated record. NCBI's taxonomy places the organism in Eukaryota, Metazoa, Chordata, Mammalia, Artiodactyla, Suidae.
CGGCCCGGCUGGAGGGGAGGGGGAGCCUGCGGCCGGGGGAUGCGGGGGGAGGAGGGGGCGGGCUCCCAAUCCGGUUCCAUCCGGUUCUCCCACCGCCCCCGCCGCGGGUCCCAGCAGCUCCGGCGGCGGGAGGAGCGGCAGCGGCCAGGCAGCCCAGAUUCGCGAAGGCUCUCGGCGCGCCGCGGACCGCAGGCACCCGGCACGCGCCCGCGCCCUCGCCACGAUGCCCAAGAGGAAGGUCAGCUCCGCCGAGGGGGCGGCAAAGGAGGAGGUAAGAGCCCCCCGCCUGUCCCGGGGUGGGUUCGGUUCGCCCCGCGUCCCGUGCGUCUUACUCAUUCUGCUUUUCUUUCCCGAAGCCCAAGAGGAGAUCGGCGAGGUUGUCAGCUAAACCUGCUCCUGCAAAAGUGGAAGCGAAGCCAAAAAAGGCGGCAGGAAAGGAUAAAGCUUCAGACAAAAAAGUACAAACUAAAGGGAAAAGGGGAGCAAAGGGAAAACAGGCCGAAGUGACCAAGCAAGAGAUGAAAGAAGAUCUGCCUGCGGAAAACGGAGAAACUAAAAGCGAGGAGAGCCCGGCCUCCGAUGAAGCAGGAGAGAAAGAAGCCAAGUCUGAUUAACAGCACACGCCCAGUCCUGCAGUGGUCCCUGUGUCCCUUCUUGUACAAUCCAGAGGAAUAUUUUUAUCAACUAUUUUGUAAAUGCAAGUUUUUUAGUAGCUCUAGAAACAUUUUUAAGAAGGAGGGAAUCCCACCUCAUCCCAUUUUUUAAGUGUAAAUGCUUUUUUUUAAGAGGUGAAAUCAUUUGCUGGUUGUUUAUUUUUUGGUACAACCAGAAAAUAGUGGGAUAUUGAAUGUGGGAGGCUUUGAAUGUCUUGGGUGUCAGCUUAACAUUCCAUAGAUGGGGAGCUUUUAUAUCCUGUAAUACAAAGCGUACUAAAUGGUGAUUUGGAGUCAGUUGUGCAUUUAACGUCUUGAACACUCGAAAUUACUUCUCUUCCCAUGUUGUUUUUGGUAGAACUGUUUCUAAAGCAGACCAACCUUGACCUUGGCUCUCCUUGUCAGAAUUGUGUGCACUCUGUAACACCUUUGGUCGUGGUAGUCCAGUUUUCCUAGUAAUUUUGUUCAUGUGCUGUGAAAGACUGAACAUUUGAGUACGUAGUAUAUAUGAUAUUAAAAUUGUGAAUUAGUGGGACUUAUGAUAUAACAGCAUAUCAUCAUUCGAAGAUAUUGGCACUUGAUAUCCUGUUAAGGAAAAUUUGCCUCCAAAUUUUAAGCUGUAAAGUCACUGGAAUAACUGUUGAGAAAAGAAUCACAACUAUAUGAUUUUUUUAGAUUUUUGGUACGUAUGUUAAGAAUUGUGUACAAGUUGAAAUAUCUGUGUACUGAUCCUCAAAACAACCAAUAAAAUCUCAGUUACGAAAGAA